Molecule: ribosomal RNA, 904 nt
Filed under: uncultured bacterium
Lineage: Bacteria
Description: bacterial SSU rRNA
Rfam family: Bacterial small subunit ribosomal RNA
Source: RNAcentral
UCCUUAGAGUUUGAUCCUGGCUCAGGAUGAACGCUGGCGGCGUGCCUAAUACAUGCAAGUCGAACGAGGUGCUUUUGUAGCAAUACGAGAGUAUCCUAGUGGCGAACGGGUGAGUAACGCGUUGGUGACCUACCCCAAAGUGUGGGAUAACAGUCCGAAAGGACUGCUAAUACCGCAUGUGGUCAUUGGCUUUAGAAACCGGUGACUAAAGGAGCAAUUCGCUUUGGGAGGGACCUGCGUCCCAUCAGCUAGUUGGUGAGGUAAUGGCUCACCAAGGCGACGACGGGUAGGGGACCUGAGAGGGUGGCCCCCCACAAUGGAACUGAAACACGGUCCAUACACCUACGGGUGGCAGCAGUAGGGAAUAUUGCUCAAUGGGCGAAAGCCUGAAGCAGCAACGCCGCGUGCGUGAUGAAGGUCUUCGGAUCGUAAAGCGCUUUUCUGGGAGAUGAGAAAGGACAGUAUCCCAGGAAUAAGUCUCGGCUAACUACGUGCCAGCAGCCGCGGUAAAACGUAGGAGGCAAGCGUUAUCCGGAUUCACUGGGCGUAAAGCGCGUGCAGGUGGCGCGGUAAGUUGGGCGUGAAAUCUCCCGGCUCAACUGGGAGAGGUCGUUCAAUACUACCGUACUCGAGAGCAGAAGAGGAAGAUGGAAUUCCCGGUGUAGUGGUGAAAUGCGUAGAUAUCGGGAGGAACACCAGUGGCGAAGGCGAUCUUCUGGUCUGUUUCUGACACUCAGACGCGACAGCUAGGGUAGUAAACGGGAUUAGAGACCCCGGUAAUCCUAGCCGUAAACGAUGUGAACUUGGCGUUGGUGGGUUAAACUCCAUCAGUGCCGCAGCAAACGCGAUAAGUUCACCGCCUGGGGACUACGGCCGCAAGGUUAAAACUCAAAGGAAUUGACGG